Molecule: transfer RNA, 70 nt
Filed under: Ophiostoma novo-ulmi subsp. novo-ulmi
Lineage: Eukaryota; Fungi; Ascomycota; Sordariomycetes; Ophiostomatales; Ophiostomataceae
Description: tRNA-Ile
Source: RNAcentral
UAGUUAUUAACAUAGGUGUAUGUAAAAUAUUUAAUAUAUUUUAUAUUUAGUUCAAGUCUAAAAUAACUAA